GUGAGGAAUAUUGCGCAAUGGAGGCAACUCUGACGCAGCCAUGCCGCGUGCAGGAAGAAGGCGCUACGCGCUGUAAACUGCUUUUAACCGGGAAGAAACCCCAGGACGUGUCCUGGGUUGACGGUACCGGAGGAAUAAGCACCGGCUAACUUCGUGCCAGCAGCCGCGGUAAUACGAAGGGUGCAAGCGUUAUCCGGAUUCAUUGGGUUUAAAGGGUGCGUAGGCGGAGCGUUAAGUCAGUGGUGAAAUCCUGCAGCUUAACUGUAGACUUGCCAUUGAUACUGGCGCUCUUGAGUGCGCUUGAAGUGGGCGGAAUGUGCCGUGUAGCGGUGAAAUGCUUAGAUAUGGCACAGAACACCAAUUGCGAAGGCAGCUCACUAAGGCGAUACUGACGCUGAGGCACGAAAGCGUGGGGAUCGAACAGGAUUAGAAACCCCAGUAGUCC
Molecule: ribosomal RNA, 445 nt
Filed under: uncultured bacterium
Lineage: Bacteria
Description: bacterial SSU rRNA
Rfam family: Bacterial small subunit ribosomal RNA
Source: RNAcentral